This 466-nucleotide ribosomal RNA is filed under the name uncultured bacterium. RNAcentral describes it as "bacterial SSU rRNA". It matches the Rfam family "Bacterial small subunit ribosomal RNA", at positions 329 to 792 of the family's 1533-position model. The record is from RNAcentral.
ACCCAGACUCCUACGGGAGGCAGCAGUGAGGAAUAUUGGUCAAUGGACGAGAGUCUGAACCAGCCAAGUAGCGUGAAGGAUGACUGCCCUAUGGGUUGUAAACUUCUUUUAUAAAGGAAUAAAACGAGGCACGUGUGCCUUUUUGCAUGUACUUUAUGAAUAAGGAUCGGCUAACUCCGUGCCAGCAGCCGCGGUAAUACGGAGGAUCCGAGCGUUAUCCGGAUUUAUUGGGUUUAAAGGGAGCGUAGAUGGGUUGUUAAGUCAGUUGUGAAAGUUUGCGGCUCAACCGUAAAAUUGCAAUUGAUACUGGCAGUCUUGAGUACAGUUGAGGUAGGCGGAAUUCGUGGUGUAGCGGUGAAAUGCUUAGAUAUCACGAAGAACUCCGAUUGCGAAGGCAGUUCACUGGACUGCAACUGACACUGAGGCACGAAAGCGUGGGUAUCGAACAGGAUUAGAUACCCGAGUA